This 188-nucleotide unclassified non-coding RNA is filed under the name soil metagenome. RNAcentral's name for it is "partial internal transcribed spacer 1". The record is from RNAcentral.
AAAAAAAAAAAAAAAAUUAUCGAGCGCUGCGGGAGGGCUCAGGCGGAAGCCUGACGCCUCCCGUACCUCAAACCCCUUGCAAGAGCGUAAAACUUGUUGCUUCGGCGUGCUGGCCUCGCGGCCACCGCCAGAAGGUUGCGAAACUCGUCUCAACCGUGAAGUCAGAGCUAUACUGAAAAAAUUUUAAA